Molecule: long non-coding RNA, 917 nt
Filed under: Nicotiana benthamiana
Lineage: Eukaryota; Viridiplantae; Streptophyta; Magnoliopsida; Solanales; Solanaceae
Description: long non-coding RNA (NBEN_LNC019170)
Source: RNAcentral
GUUUGAUCUUUUUUUAAGUCUUAAUAGCUUGAAAUUUAUUCAAAAGCUAAUUUUUUGCCAUCUGGAGUUCCCAAGUUUCAACUUUUUUUGAUUCCCUUUUGUUAUUUGCAUGCUACUUCCACUUCUUCUUUUUUUUUUUGCUUGGAUUUAUUCUUCUUGGUUUUGGUUUUUGUAACUUUCUUUAAUUGUUGGGUGUUUUUGAUUCCUUUUGGAAGUUUCUUUAUCUAAGCUCCUUAUUUUGUCUUUGAUUCAAAUUUGUCUUUUUUUUUUUUUGAAUUAAAGUUGUAUGUCCUUUAUUUCAAACCUUAUACCUUUUUUUAGGUAUUGUUUUAUAGUUGGAAGUUAGCCAUUUGGUAUCCCUUUAUGACUUUAAUACUCUGACCCUUUAUUUUAAUUUUAAAAAAGUACUUUUGUAUAAUUGGUUGCUAUUUUGACAAUUCUGAUUGCAACAACUUUUGUGUGCUAAGGCAACUUGUUUGCUGUUAUAAUCUAAUUUCAGGAAACUUCUGGUGGGAAGCUGAUUGUUUAAGGCAUCGCUGUUUCUGAUACAUCACAUUUCGGAAAAGUGUGUGCUUAGUUGAUAUUUGUGGACAACAAAAGGAUGGGAGAUCAUUUUGUGUUUUUGGUUGAUCGGUUGCUAACUGAAUCAACUUUGGAGGCUGCAAUUGAAAGCAGAAACCAGAAACAGCUGGUGUCGUCGACGACAAACGAUCCAGUAGCUGAUUGCUCUUCUCAGGAAUCUGAUCCUUUCUUGACUCCUAGGAAAAUGGUUGAAUGGUCGACGACAAAUGAUCCAGUAGCUGAUUGCUCUUCUCAGGAAUCUGAUCCUUUCUUGACUCCUAGGAAAAUGGUUGAAUGCAGGAUAUGUCAGGAUGAAGAUGUGGAUUCGAAUAUGGAGACUCCUUGCUCUUGCUGUG